Molecule: long non-coding RNA, 201 nt
Filed under: Medicago truncatula (barrel medic)
Lineage: Eukaryota; Viridiplantae; Streptophyta; Magnoliopsida; Fabales; Fabaceae
Description: lncRNA gene42357
Source: RNAcentral
AUGGAUGAUGGCACCUUUAUAAUGGAGCAUAAAUUGAUCCAAUCUUGUGGCAAAUUCAGAUUGAAAGUUGGAAGGAUGUUUGGUAAGUCUUGAAUUGUGUUAUAGUCAAACAUGGUAUGAAGAUCAAAGUUGAGGUCCGCCCUUAAUCCCCAUUCGUGAACCCAUCGUUUAGACAAUGCACUAGUUUUCACCAAAUCCUUC